UAUAUUAAGGUGUAUGAUGCAUAUUAGUUUUUGAAACUAUUCGGGAUAGUUUGAUUCUAUCUAAUAUAA
Molecule: transfer RNA, 69 nt
Filed under: Tagasta indica
Lineage: Eukaryota; Metazoa; Arthropoda; Insecta; Orthoptera; Pyrgomorphidae
Description: tRNA-Gln
Source: RNAcentral